AAAGACAUUUUCCAGUUCAUUAUUUGUAAUAUAAUUGUGUUCAUACAUAAUGACUUUUGAGCUUUUCUUUAAGAAUGUUCUGUUUGGAAUUUUCACUUUUGAGAAGCAAUGGUACGGAAGCCCUGAACCGCGAGUUACAUCAGAUCACGCUCCAGCAGCUCUUUUUAGAAGCCAUCUCUCUCUCUCUCAGCUUUUCCUUUCCUAUUUUUCCAAACUGUAAUCUGUAAUUCAUUUACACAUAGUAGACUCUCUAUCUGUGGUUCAUCAUGGCAUAUUUCAAAACUUAAUCAAAUUUUGACCAAUUCUUUCAGAAAGCUGCUAGAAUUAACUUGAACUCGAAGCUCUCGAUUCUGAUCUUGAAGAAGCUGUCAAGGAGGCUGAACAAGUCCUUCAAAGGUUCAGCCCUUCACAGGGAAGCCCAAAGGAAGGCCUAUCAUGGGAUUUGAAUUUGACCGUAUUGUGCGUUUACAGAGAAGACCCAAAGCUGCAAAGGCAAACACUUCCAAUGGAUUUCUCACAGAUUUCUCCAUCAGCUCUCCACAAUAUCAGCCCUUCCGAAAGCUUCCACAUCUCUCUCUCUCGUGUGGCACAUCUGCUCUCAGUCCUUUACUGCCAACUUCCAGUCUUCUCACGUCUACUUAUAUAUAUAUAUAGAUAUAUUCUUGAUGAAAAUUAUAAUUGUCAAAAAAUAUAUAUAAUUGUGAACCAUUUUAAUCGGUCCUGCAUUUAGUCACAAUAGAAGCAAACAAUAAUUACAGGAGAAUAAUAAUCGUAAAAUAUUGAAAUAUUGUUCUUAAUAAUUUUUUGCCUAUUUGCUCGUUAAAGGGAAGAAAAUAAUAUCUUUUCAACUGGAGCCUCGAAACUCCUGGUUUGUAAAAUGUUAUUUGGCAUCUUAUGACAUUUUCUGUAAACAAAUUCUCUUUUUAUUUUUGAAUAUUAGACAGUGUUUUUUAAAGGGGUUUUAUAUUGCAUAUUUCUUAGUUACAUAUUUGUUUCCAUGUACCCAUUAAUUACUUCAAUCAAUCUGUCAUUGUUUUAAGUUGUUAUAUUUCAAUAUAACAGUUUUUUUUUUUCCAUAGUGGCACAAACUGGAGAGAGAGUGCUGUUCUGGGCACUAUGUUUGUUUUGGAAAAGUCUGACAUAUCAAUAAACAUGCAAUUUGUAAGUUUUUAUUUUUAUUUUUUUAUAUAUAUUCCUGUUGUUCAACUGGCAGAGCUAAGAAUGACAAGUUUGUACGGUCCAUUUCCAGGAAACAUAAAAGUGAUUAAUUGUAUACCUUUAAUACACUAAAUACACUGUAAAUGUUACAGAACCAAAAUUGAAUAGUGGAAACAUUCUGCAUGUUUGAAUAAAUAUCAGAGGUUGGU
Long non-coding RNA from Onychostoma macrolepis, 1367 nucleotides. RefSeq lists it as uncharacterized. NCBI's taxonomy places the organism in Eukaryota, Metazoa, Chordata, Actinopteri, Cypriniformes, Cyprinidae. The record is from RefSeq and is a predicted model, not a curated record. The transcript has 4 exons.